This 497-nucleotide ribosomal RNA is filed under the name uncultured bacterium. RNAcentral describes it as "partial 16S ribosomal RNA". It matches the Rfam family "Bacterial small subunit ribosomal RNA", at positions 28 to 507 of the family's 1533-position model. The record is from RNAcentral.
GAUGAACGCUGGCGGCGUGCCUAAUACAUGCAAGUCGAGCGAACAGACGAGGAGCUUGCUCCUCUGACGUUAGCGGCGGACGGGUGAGUAACACGUGGAUAACCUACCUAUAAGACUGGGAUAACUUUGGGAAACCGGAGCUAAUACCGGAUAAUAUAUUGAACCGCAUGGUUCAAUAGUGAAAGACGGUUUUGCUAUCACUUAUAGAUGGAUCCGCGCCGCAUUAGCUAGUUGGUAAGGUAACGGCUUACCAAGGCGACGAUGCGUAGCCGACCUGAGAGGGUGAUCGGCCACACUGGAACUGAGACACGGUCCAGACUCCUACGGGAGGCAGCAGUAGGGAAUCUUCCGCAAUGGGCGAAAGCCUGACGGAGCAACGCCGCGUGAGUGAUGAAGGUCUUCGGAUCGUAAAACUCUGUUAUUAGGGAAGAACAAAUGUGUAAGUAACUAUGCACGUCUUGACGGUACCUAAUCAGAAAGCCACGGCUAACUACGUG